AACGAACGCUGGCGGCAUGCCUAACACAUGCAAGUCGAACGAGACCUUCGGGUCUAGUGGCGCACGGGUGCGUAACGCGUGGGAACCUGCCCUUAGGUUCGGAAUAACUCCCCGAAAGGGGUGCUAAUACCGGAUAAUGUCUUCGGACCAAAGAUUUAUCGCCUUUGGAUGGGCCCGCGUUGGAUUAGCUAGUUGGUAGGGUAAAAGCCUACCAAGGCGACGAUCCAUAGCUGGUCUGAGAGGAUGAUCAGCCACACUGGGACUGAGACACGGCCCAGACUCCUACGGGAGGCAGCAGUGGGGGAAUAUUGGACAAUGGGCGAAAGCCUGAUCCAGCAAUGCCGCGUGAGUGAUGAAGGCCUUAGGGUUGUAAAGCUCUUUUACCCGGGAUGAUAAUGACAGUACCGGGAGAAUAAGCUCCGGCUAACUCCGUG
This 434-nucleotide ribosomal RNA is filed under the name uncultured bacterium. Its description in RNAcentral is "partial 16S ribosomal RNA". It matches the Rfam family "Bacterial small subunit ribosomal RNA", at positions 29 to 507 of the family's 1533-position model. The record is from RNAcentral.